AUACGGAGGAUCCGAGCGUUAUCCGGAUUUAUUGGGUUUAAAGGGUGCGCAGGCGGCCAUUUAAGUCAGCGGUUAAAUCGUGGGGCUCAACCCCAUUCUGCCGUUGAUACUGGGUGGCUUGAUUGCGGUCGAGGUUGGCGGAAUUCGUUGUGUAGCGGUGAAAUGCAUAGAUAUGACGAAGAACACCGAUUGCGUAGGCAGCUGACCAGACCGCAAAUGACGCUCAUGCACGAAAGUGCGGGGAUCGAACAGGAUUAGAUACCCUGGUAGUCCGCACAGUAAACGAUGAAUACUUGUUUUCGGCGAUAUAAUGUCGGAGGCAAAGCGAAAGCGAUAAGUAUUCCACCUGGGGAGUACGCUGGCAACGGUGAAACUCAAAUGAAUUGACGGGG
This 392-nucleotide ribosomal RNA is filed under the name uncultured bacterium. RNAcentral describes it as "partial 16S ribosomal RNA". It matches the Rfam family "Bacterial small subunit ribosomal RNA", at positions 523 to 918 of the family's 1533-position model. The record is from RNAcentral.